Molecule: ribosomal RNA, 735 nt
Filed under: bacterium enrichment culture clone ADE_58
Lineage: Bacteria
Description: bacterial SSU rRNA
Rfam family: Bacterial small subunit ribosomal RNA
Source: RNAcentral
UAGAGUUUGAUCCUGGCUCAGAUUGAACGCUGGCGGCAUGCUUUACACAUGCAAGUCGAACGGCAGCGCGGGCUUCGGCCUGGCGGCGAGUGGCGAACGGGUGAGUAAUAUAUCGGAACGUACCCAAGAGUGGGGGAUAACGUAGCGAAAGUUACGCUAAUACCGCAUACGAUCUAAGGAUGAAAGCAGGGGACCGCAAGGCCUUGUGCUCCUGGAGCGGCCGAUAUCUGAUUAGCUAGUUGGUGAGGUAAAGGCUCACCAAGGCAACGAUCAGUAGCUGGUCUGAGAGGACGACCAGCCACACUGGAACUGAGACACGGUCCAGACUCCUACGGGAGGCAGCAGUGGGGAAUUUUGGACAAUGGGGGCAACCCUGAUCCAGCAAUGCCGCGUGAGUGAAGAAGGCCUUCGGGUUGUAAAGCUCUUUUGUCAGGGAAGAAAAGGGAGUGGCUAAUAUCCAUUCCUGCUGACGGUACCUGAAGAAUAAGCACCGGCUAACUACGUGCCAGCAGCCGCGGUAAUACGUAGGGUGCGAGCGUUAAUCGGAAUUACUGGGCGUAAAGCGUGCGCAGGCGGUUUUGUAAGACAGGCGUGAAAUCCCCGAGCUCAACUUGGGAAUGGCGCUUGUGACUGCAAGGCUAGAGUAUGUCAGAGGGGGGUAGAAUUCCACGUGUAGCAGUGAAAUGCGUAGAGAUGUGGAGGAAUACCGAUGGCGAAAGCAGCCCCCUGGGACGU